RNAcentral lists this ribosomal RNA (149 nucleotides) under uncultured bacterium. RNAcentral describes it as "partial 16S ribosomal RNA". It matches the Rfam family "Bacterial small subunit ribosomal RNA", at positions 118 to 262 of the family's 1533-position model. The record is from RNAcentral.
UGGAUAACCUGCCCCGAAGACCGGGACAACCCGGGGAAACCCGAGCUAAUACCGGAUGUGGUCACCGUCCAUAAGGACGAUGAGCAAAGGAAGCUUCGGCCUCCGCUUCGGGAGGGUCCGCGGCCCAUUAGCUUGUUGGUGAGGUAACC